GUGGGGAAUUUUGGACAAUGGGCGCAAGCCUGAUCCAGCAAUGCCGCGUGCAGGAAGAAGGCCUUCGGGUUGUAAACUGCUUUUGUACGGAACGAAACGGUCCUGGCUAAUAUCCGGGGCUAAUGACGGUACCGUAAGAAUAAGCACCGGCUAACUACGUGCCAGCAGCCGCGGUAAUACGUAGGGUGCGAGCGUUAAUCGGAAUUAUUGGGCGUAAAGCGUGCGCAGGCGGUGCUGUAAGACAGGCGUGAAAUCCCCGGGCUCAACCGGGGAAUUGCGCUUGUGACUGCAGUGCUGGAGUGCGGCAGAGGGGGAUGGAAUUCCGCGUGUAGCAGUGAAAUGCGUAGAUAUGCGGAGGAACACCGAUGGCGAAGGCAAUCCCCUGGGCCUGCACUGACGCUCAUGCACGAAAGCGUGGGGAGCAAACAGGAUUAGAUACCCGUGUAGUCC
RNAcentral lists this ribosomal RNA (450 nucleotides) under uncultured bacterium. RNAcentral's name for it is "partial 16S ribosomal RNA". It matches the Rfam family "Bacterial small subunit ribosomal RNA", at positions 354 to 796 of the family's 1533-position model. The record is from RNAcentral.